CUGGCACUACAAAACCGGUUGAGGAGAUGAAAACCUCAAUGAGAUAGGUGACGGUUCUCGAAAAUAAGAUCAUCGGCACCACAAAAUCGGUUGAGAAUAUGAAAAUCUCAAUGAGGUAGGUAACUGGUCUCGAAAAUCAGACAGUCAGAACCACAAAACCGGUUGAAAAGAUGAAGACCUCAAUAAGGUAGGCAACCGGUCUUGAAAAUAAGACUGCUGGCACUACAAAACCGGUUGAGGAGAUGAAAACCUCAAUGAGAUAGGUGACGGUUCUUGAAAAUAAGAUCGUCGGACCACAAAAUCGGUCGAGAAUAUGAAAAUCUCAAUGAGGUAGGUAACCGGUCUCGAAAAUCAGACAGUCAGAACCACAAAACCGGUUGAAAAGAUGAAGGCCUCAAUGAGGUAGGCGACCGGUCUCAAAAAUAAGACCGCCGACACCACAAAACCGGUUGAGGAGAUGAAGAUCUCAAUGAUGUAGGUGAUCGGUCUCAUAAAUAAGACCGCCGAUACCACAAAACCGAUUAAGAAGAUGAGGAUCUCAAUAAAGUAGGUGAUCGGUCUCGAAAAUAAGACUGCUGACACCACAAAACCAGUUGAGAAAAUAAAAAUCUCAAUGAGAUAGGUAACCGGUCUCGAAAAUAAGAUUAUCGGCACAACAAAACCGGUCUCAAUGAAUUUCCCUUCAAAAUUCAUAAGUGUCAACCAAACGAACAGAUGACGUCGAGUUAGCAGGAUGGGUUCCCUUCUCCGACGAUCAAAAAUAACCAUCGGAGAAGCAAAAGGGCAACUGAUAACGUAUAAAAAAUUGGACCCCCAAGAUCGUGACACGUAUACACGUGAAUCGAAAGUCUUUCUAUCUAGUUGGAUCGGACAGUAAGAAACCCGACCUAUUGAGUACAAAGAAUCAGACCAACAAUACUCCUGAAUUUACCAAAAUCGAAACGGAAAGAUCGAACUCCUCAAAAGCCCGUACUACAAUAAGACUUUGAACGCCGACGUGGCCAACCUCAGUAACCAGAAUGAGCUCAUUUCUAUGUAGGUCGGAUGAGCCCGACACAACCUAAUGAAGCCGAAGUAAAAAUACCGACCUCCUAUGAGUUGGUCACCUCCUUGGUACAGCACAGGGAUCAUAAGUGCGCAUGUAGAGGAUACGAACCGGCCAGCUUCACAUUUACUAUCCUAUAACCCAUCAUUAAUGUAUUGCCUAAUACACAUGCACAGAACUAAAGGCAUCAACUUUAUUCAAAGGUAUUUAUAUGCCGAACUCACCCUAAAAAGGAAUCUCUCCUCUGAAAAAGGUCUAUCUCUCUCUCUGUCACACAGAGAGAACCCGAAAUCGCUAUCCUCUUCUCUUAUCUGUUUUACUUCCCUUAACUCCACUAAGUUCUCAGAUCUACUUGAGCGUCGAAGGGUCUCCACCGAGAACUCCCUGGUGGACCCCUGACCGUCUUUUUCAUCUUAUAGGACCCCUUCCUCAAAGCCAAGCAUAGAGAGAACCAACGGACCGAUCACAAAUUGAUUAUCAACCCAGCAAAUCAAACAUCUGCCUAGAUGUCCUCAUUUGGACACCCCGUCGGAUCUCAGCAUUAUCAUACUGUUAUUUAUAGGUUUAUGGGGAUACCAUUACUGACACCUUCUUUAAAUAAUAGCAGUAAAAGAAUUGUAAUCCACAACAGCCUUUAGCCAGAUAGGGAUUCUUAUUACUUUGUGGUGCAGAGAGCCAGAGAUUUAUUUUGCUUACAGUUUCUACACUUCUCCAUUUGUUUCUCUCAAAUUUCACAUCUUCAUAAAUCUUCAUUACUAAAGCUUACAUCAUCAAAUAGUGCAUGUUUAUUUGAAGUAAAGGAGAGCAAAUAAUCUAGAUUUCUACAUCCAUAUUCUCCCAAUCCAUCCAAGAUCAAUUUUGCAAUGAGCCACACUCCAUUGCCAAUUCAGGAUCCUACUUAUAUUAGUUUUAAAUUGAUUAUUGCUAACAAAUGGCUAAGAAUGAUGGAUAUACUGUCU
Molecule: long non-coding RNA, 2004 nt
Filed under: Manihot esculenta (cassava)
Lineage: Eukaryota; Viridiplantae; Streptophyta; Magnoliopsida; Malpighiales; Euphorbiaceae
Description: long non-coding RNA (MESC_LNC000674)
Source: RNAcentral